UGGGGAAUCUUAGACAAUGGGGGAAACCCUGAUCUAGCCAUGCCGCGUGAUCGAUGAAGGCCUUAGGGUUGUAAAGAUCUUUCAGUGGGGAAGAUAAUGACGGUACCCACAGAAGAAGCCCCGGCUAACUCCGUGCCAGCAGCCGCGGUAAUACGGAGGGGGCUAGCGUUGUUCGGAAUUACUGGGCGUAAAGCGCACGUAGGCGGACCGGAAAGUCAGAGGUGAAAUCCCAGGGCUCAACCUUGGAACUGCCUUUGAAACUCCUGGUCUUGAGGUCGAGAGAGGUGAGUGGAAUUCCGAGUGUAGAGGUGAAAUUCGUAGAUAUUCGGAGGAACACCAGUGGCGAAGGCGGCUCACUGGCUCGAUACUGACGCUGAGGUGCGAAAGCGUGGGGAGCAAACAGG
RNAcentral lists this ribosomal RNA (404 nucleotides) under Bacillota bacterium. RNAcentral describes it as "Firmicutes bacterium partial 16S ribosomal RNA". It matches the Rfam family "Bacterial small subunit ribosomal RNA", at positions 355 to 776 of the family's 1533-position model. The record is from RNAcentral. Lineage: Bacteria; Bacillati; Bacillota.